CUCUCGGCAACGGAUAUCUCGGCUCUCGCAUCGAUGAAGAACGUAGCGAAAUGCGAUACUUGGUGUGAAUUGCAGAAUCCCGUGAACCAUCGAGUCUUUGAACGCAAGUUGCGCCCGAAGCCUUCCGGCCGAGGGCACGCCUGCNUGGGCGUCACGCAUCGCGUCGCCCCCACCUCUCC
RNAcentral lists this ribosomal RNA (179 nucleotides) under Ruellia tuberosa. Its description in RNAcentral is "5.8S ribosomal RNA". The stretch from base 1 to 154 matches the Rfam family "5.8S ribosomal RNA". From Rfam's summary of the family: 5.8S ribosomal RNA (5.8S rRNA) is a component of the large subunit of the eukaryotic ribosome. It is transcribed by RNA polymerase I as part of the 45S precursor that also contains 18S and 28S rRNA. The record is from RNAcentral. Lineage: Eukaryota; Viridiplantae; Streptophyta; Magnoliopsida; Lamiales; Acanthaceae.